Molecule: ribosomal RNA, 374 nt
Filed under: uncultured organism
Description: partial 16S ribosomal RNA
Rfam family: Bacterial small subunit ribosomal RNA
Source: RNAcentral
GAGGGGUGCAAGCGUUAUUCGGAAUCAUUGGGCGUAAAGGGUGUGUAGGCGGCAACCUAAGUCAACUGUUAAAGACCCCGGCCUAACUGGGGACAGGCGGUAGAUACUGGGUUGCUAGAGGAAGGAAGAGAGAAGUGGAAUUCUCGGAGUAGCGGUAAAAUGCGUGGAUCUCGAGAGGAACACCAAUGGCGAAGGCAGCUUCUUGGUCCUUUCCUGACGCUGAGACACGAAAGCGUGGGGAGCAAACAGGAUUAGAUACCCUGGUAGUCCACGCCGUAAACGAUGAUCACUAGACGUUAGUCCCUGUUUUUACAGGGUUAGUGUCGUAGCUAACGCGCUAAGUGGUCCGCCUGGGGACUACGGUCGCAAGACUA